AUUGAACGCUGGCGGCAUGCCUUACACAUGCAAGUCGAACGGCAGCACGGGUGCUUGCACCUGGUGGCGAGUGGCGAACGGGUGAGUAAUACAUCGGAACAUGUCCUGUAGUGGGGGAUAGCCCGGCGAAAGCCGGAGUAAUACCGCAUACGAUCUACGGAUGAAAGCGGGGGACCUUCGGGCCUCGCGCUAUAGGGUUGGCCGAUGGCUGAUUAGCUAGUUGGUGGGGUAAAGGCCUACCAAGGCGACGAUCAGUAGCUGGUCUGAGAGGACGACCAGCCACACUGGGACUGAGACACGGCCCAGACUCCUACGGGAGGCAGCAGUGGGGAAUUUUGGACAAUGGGCGAAAGCCUGAUCCAGCAAUGCCGCGUGUGUGAAGAAGGCCUUCGGGUUGUAAAGCACUUUUGUCCGGAAAGAAAUCCUUGGCCCUAAUACGGUCGGGGGAUGACGGUACCGGAAGAAUAAGCACCGGCUAACUACGUG
Molecule: ribosomal RNA, 486 nt
Filed under: uncultured bacterium
Lineage: Bacteria
Description: partial 16S ribosomal RNA
Rfam family: Bacterial small subunit ribosomal RNA
Source: RNAcentral